This is a long non-coding RNA of Mytilus trossulus (common blue mussel), 313 nucleotides long. RefSeq lists it as uncharacterized. The transcript has 3 exons. NCBI's taxonomy places the organism in Eukaryota, Metazoa, Mollusca, Bivalvia, Mytilida, Mytilidae. The record is from RefSeq and is a predicted model, not a curated record.
AAAACUAGUUGAAUUUAUUGUGACUGUUCUAGUAGAUUAUCAAUAGUGUUUUAAGAAAAUGUUUCUUGAUAUUUUUUAUGUGUGCCUUAAAGCUGAUAAAAAAACCUUUUGAAAUUCUUAGACCUGGGAAAGUGCAACAGAUGUUCUGGUGUUCCAUGGAAAGAGUCACAUUCUGCUUGUAGAAUACAUUUGUACAUCAUUUUGGAUAUAAUGGAGGAUUGGCAUGAGAAACUUACUACAGCUGCUGGGAAUGGAGAUAUAGAAGCCUUAAAAUUAAGCCUACAGAAUGGUGCAGACAUUGAUUAUCAAGAUG